This 87-nucleotide transfer RNA is filed under the name Peptoniphilus faecalis. RNAcentral's name for it is "Peptoniphilus sp. AGMB00490 tRNA-Leu". It matches the Rfam family "tRNA". Rfam says of the family: Transfer RNA (tRNA) molecules are approximately 80 nucleotides in length. Their secondary structure includes four short double-helical elements and three loops (D, anti-codon, and T loops). The record is from RNAcentral. Lineage: Bacteria; Bacillati; Bacillota; Tissierellia; Tissierellales; Peptoniphilaceae.
GCUAGAGUGGCGGAAUUGGCAGACGCACCAGACUCAAAAUCUGGCGGUCGCAAGAUCGUGUGGGUUCGAGUCCCACCUUUAGCACCA